GGAAGUAAAAGUCGUAUCAAGGUUUCCGUAGGUGAACCUGCGGAAGGAUCAUUAUUGAAUGAAACACUUCUGGCUUUAUGCUGUUGUGCUGGCCCUUUGGGCAAUGUGCACACGGCUCUGGUCACUUGUUUCUUCUGUUCCACCUGUGCACUGCCUGUAGACACGCUGUGUCUAUGAUAUUUGUUAACACACAACAAUGUUAGUUGGCAUGUUAUAUAUAAUAAUAAAAUAUACAACUUUCAACAACGGAUCUCUUGGCUCUC
RNAcentral lists this unclassified non-coding RNA (263 nucleotides) under plant metagenome. RNAcentral describes it as "partial contains small subunit ribosomal RNA, internal transcribed spacer 1, and 5.8S ribosomal RNA". The stretch from base 1 to 54 matches the Rfam family "Eukaryotic small subunit ribosomal RNA", at positions 1778 to 1831 of the family's 1831-position model. The record is from RNAcentral.